UACGUAGGAUCCAAGCGUUAUCCGGAUUUACUGGGCGUAAAGCGUGCGUAGGCGGGAGUUCAAGUGCAAUGCGAAAUCUUGUGGCUCAACCAUAUAGACUGUGUUGCAUACUGGACACCUAGAGGACGGCAGAGGCAAGUGGAAUUACCGGUGUAGCAGUGAUAUGCGUAGAUAUCGGUAGGAACACCAAUGGCGAAGGCAGCUUGCUGGGCCGUUUCUGACGCUGAGGCACGAAAGCGUGGGGAGCGAACAGG
RNAcentral lists this unclassified non-coding RNA (254 nucleotides) under uncultured Patescibacteria group bacterium. RNAcentral's name for it is "contains 16S-23S intergenic spacer region". It matches the Rfam family "Bacterial small subunit ribosomal RNA", at positions 524 to 776 of the family's 1533-position model. The record is from RNAcentral.